AUGAAAGUAAAGAAGGAACAGUUCUGCUUCUGUGAGCCAGGUGGAGAAGAGACGGUAGGACCAGAGAAGUAGUGUUGGAAGUGAGCAUUUCUAGGUGCAGACGAGGCAUUUGGGGCAUAGAAGAUCACACUCUUCUUCCGCCAUGUCUUAAGGUAAGGAGACUGAGAUGAAGACAGGAGAUAUACGUCAAAUAUCAUACAACUUGUUAAAGGAAGAACUCAAACUAGAAUCUAGGUCUCCUGAUCAAUAUCCUGCUACUAUUUGAACUCUGUCAUGGUGACUUUACUAUAUCAUUACCUGCCAGAAGCAUCUAUUUUUGGCUAUUGAAUGUUACUCCUCAGAACUUUAACAAAUUCUACAACACACCAAAGAAAAAUGGAAUCAAACUCAUGCUGAAACCUGCUUCCCCACAUCCUGGAUUGAUGUACACCUACUCUUUGUCUCGUAUUGUUUUCAAAGCCAGCUGCCUUCAUUGAUACUGUUUAUGAAAUGUAUCUCCAUAGAUUUCAACACAAAUUUAUUGGCAAAUUCUAUUUAUCUUCAUUUUUUUUUCUUUAACAAGUAUCUGUUAAAUAGUUAGAAUAAACCAAACCCUAUGCUAAGUCAUGGGAAAUAAAAAUACAUCAAAAUGCAGUCUGAGACCUCAAAGAGCUUUAUAAUGAAAAGUAGUGGUUUCCAACCUGUGUAUAUUACAGACCUCCAAGGAUGAUAGAAAUGAGAGUUGCAUUUUCUGUAGAUUGACUCAUGCUUCACAAAUUACCUACAUAAUUACUUUUCAAAAAGGUGUGUAGAUACUUUUA
RNAcentral lists this long non-coding RNA (800 nucleotides) under Homo sapiens (human). Its description in RNAcentral is "HSALNT0205312". Lineage: Eukaryota; Metazoa; Chordata; Mammalia; Primates; Hominidae. The record is from RNAcentral.